This 73-nucleotide transfer RNA is filed under the name Gaeumannomyces tritici R3-111a-1. RNAcentral describes it as "tRNA-Lys (TTT) (tRNA-Lys-TTT-3-1)". It matches the Rfam family "tRNA". Rfam says of the family: Transfer RNA (tRNA) molecules are approximately 80 nucleotides in length. Their secondary structure includes four short double-helical elements and three loops (D, anti-codon, and T loops). The record is from Rfam by way of RNAcentral. Lineage: Eukaryota; Fungi; Ascomycota; Sordariomycetes; Magnaporthales; Magnaporthaceae.
GUCCUCGUAGCGCAGUGGUUCAGCGCUAGGAGGUCCUUUUUGGAGGACGCAAGUUCGAUUCCUGCCGGGGACA